Molecule: ribosomal RNA, 494 nt
Filed under: uncultured bacterium
Lineage: Bacteria
Description: partial 16S ribosomal RNA
Rfam family: Bacterial small subunit ribosomal RNA
Source: RNAcentral
GACGAACGCUGGCGGCGUGCUUAACACAUGCCAGUCGAACGGUGAAGCGCCUUCCUUUUUGGUGGGUGUGGAUGAGUGGCGAACGGGUGAGUAACACGUGAGUAACCUGCCCCCUUCUUCUGGAUAACCGCAUGAAAGUGUGGCUAAUACGGGAUAUUCUGGGUCUGUCGCAUGAUGGGUCUGGGAAAGAUAUUGUUUCGGUGGGGGAUGGGCUCGCGGCCUAUCAGCUUGUUGGUGGGGUGAUGGCCUACCAAGGCGGUGACGGGUAGCCGGCCUGAGAGGGUGGACGGUCACACUGGGACUGAGACACGGCCCAGACUCCUACGGGAGGCAGCAGUGGGGAAUAUUGCACAGUGGGCGCAAGCCUGAUGCAGCGACGCCGCGUGAGGGAUGGAGGCCUUCGGGUUGUGAACCUCUUUCGCCAGUGAAGCAGGCCUGCCUCGUUUGUGGGUGGGUUGACGGUAGCUGGAUAAGAAGCGCCGGCUAACUACGUG